CCGUCUGUACCGUGAGCUUGGGUUGGCCACAUCAAAGGCUAGGAGUUUCCAAUUUGAGUGGAAAAAGUAUGACACUUCACAUUAGAGAUUGAGGAUUCGAAUGGACACAAAAUAUCUGCCAAAACAUGAAUCAAGAAAACUAAACUGAUUCAACAACACUUGUCUGUAGCGUGAGCUAGGGUUGGCCACAUACAAAGGCUAGGAGUGUCCAAUUUGAUUGGAAAAAGUAUGAGAGUUCACAUUAGAGAUUGAGGAUUCGAAUGGACACAAAAUAUCUGCCAAAACAAGAAUCAAGAAAACUAAACUGAUUCAACAACACUUGUCUGUACCGUGAGCUAGGGUUGGCCACACAAAAGGCUAGGAGUGUCCAAUUUGAUUGGAAAAAGUAUGAGAGUUCAC
This 399-nucleotide long non-coding RNA is filed under the name Prunus persica (peach). RNAcentral's name for it is "long non-coding RNA (PPER_LNC008666)". The record is from RNAcentral. Lineage: Eukaryota; Viridiplantae; Streptophyta; Magnoliopsida; Rosales; Rosaceae.